Molecule: ribosomal RNA, 552 nt
Filed under: uncultured bacterium
Lineage: Bacteria
Also listed under: 1 other name
Description: bacterial SSU rRNA
Rfam family: Bacterial small subunit ribosomal RNA
Source: RNAcentral
AACCGGAUUAGAUACCCUGGUAGUCCACGCCGUAAACGAUGUCGACUUGAGGUUGUUCCCUUGAGGAGUGGCUUCCGGAGCUAACGCGUUAAGUCGACCGCCUGGGGAGUACGGCCGCAAGGUUAAAACUCAAAUGAAUUGACGGGGGCCCGCACAAGCGGUGGAGCAUGUGGUUUAAUUCGAUGCAACGCGAAGAACCUUACCUACUCUUGACAUCCACGGAAUUUGGCAGAGAUGCCUUAGUGCCUUCGGGAACCGUGAGACAGGUGCUGCAUGGCUGUCGUCAGCUCGUGUUGUGAAAUGUUGGGUUAAGUCCCGCAACGAGCGCAACCCUUAUCCUUUGUUGCCAGCGAUUCGGUCGGGAACUCAAAGGAGACUGCCGGUGAUAAACCGGAGGAAGGUGGGGACGACGUCAAGUCAUCAUGGCCCUUACGAGUAGGGCUACACACGUGCUACAAUGGCGCAUACAAAGAGAAGCGACCUCGCGAGAGCAAGCGGACCUCACAAAGUGCGUCGUAGUCCGGAUCGGAGUCUGCAACUCGACUCCGUGAA